This 200-nucleotide unclassified non-coding RNA is filed under the name Ascomycota sp. Its description in RNAcentral is "partial internal transcribed spacer 2". Lineage: Eukaryota; Fungi; Ascomycota. The record is from RNAcentral.
UUAAGUUCAGCGGGUAUCCCUACCUGAUCCGAGGUCAACCUUGUAAAAAUUGGGGGUUACUGGCAAGACACCACGAGACUCUAUAGCGAGGAUAAUUACUACGCUCAGAGCUCGGGGGCACCGCCACUGGGUUUAGAGGCUGCGGAGUCGCAGGCCCCAAGACAAGCCGAAGCUUGAUGGGUUGAAAUGACGCUCGAACA